This 425-nucleotide ribosomal RNA is filed under the name uncultured bacterium. Its description in RNAcentral is "bacterial SSU rRNA". It matches the Rfam family "Bacterial small subunit ribosomal RNA", at positions 356 to 773 of the family's 1533-position model. The record is from RNAcentral.
GGGGAAUAUUGGACAAUGGGCGAAAGCCUGAUCCAGCCAUGCCGCGUGGGUGAAGAAGGCCUUCGGGUUGUAAAGCCCUUUUGUUGGGAAAGAAAACUUUCCGGCUAAUACCCGGAGAGAAUGACGGUACCCAAAGAAUAAGCACCGGCUAACUUCGUGCCAGCAGCCGCGGUAAUACGAAGGGUGCAAGCGUUACUCGGAAUUACUGGGCGUAAAGCGUGCGUAGGUGGUUCGUUAAGUCUGAUGUGAAAGCCCUGGGCUCAACCUGGGAAUUGCAUUGGAUACUGGCGGGCUAGAGUACGGUAGAGGGUGGCGGAAUUCCUGGUGUAGCAGUGAAAUGCGUAGAGAUCAGGAGGAACACCCGUGGCGAAGGCGGCCACCUGGACCAGUACUGACACUGAGGCACGAAAGCGUGGGGAGCAAAC